GUGAAUCAUCAAAUUUUUGAACGCAAAUUGCACUUUCUGGUAUUCCGAAAAGUAUGCCUGUUUGAGGGUCAUGUAAAUAAAAAUCGGUAUUAUUGCUAUUACUGGUGAUGCGUCUGGAUUGAGUCGUCUUUACCUUUUGUUUUAAGUGACUUAAAAUUAUGUACGAUUUCUUAACUUAUUUAAAGUAUUUACUUACGCUCAUGAUAUCACAUAUUAGGUGCGGUCAUUCACAUGAUGUCGCGUCUAUAAUUUUUCAUUAUUUGACCUCAAAUCAUGUAAGAAUACCCCCUGAACUUAAGC
RNAcentral lists this unclassified non-coding RNA (300 nucleotides) under Glomeraceae sp. RNAcentral describes it as "partial contains 5.8S ribosomal RNA, internal transcribed spacer 2, and large subunit ribosomal RNA". The stretch from base 1 to 71 matches the Rfam family "5.8S ribosomal RNA", at positions 84 to 154 of the family's 154-position model. Lineage: Eukaryota; Fungi; Glomeromycota; Glomeromycetes; Glomerales; Glomeraceae. The record is from RNAcentral.